Molecule: long non-coding RNA, 3956 nt
Organism: Marmota monax (woodchuck)
Lineage: Eukaryota; Metazoa; Chordata; Mammalia; Rodentia; Sciuridae
Exons: 3
Source: RefSeq, a predicted model, not a curated record
UCUAAGCACAUUCCAUGCCUCAUCUCCAUGGAUCCAUUCCUGUUAUCCAUCAAGUAGAUUUUAAAAUAGUCCACGUUUUUUUUCAUUUCUGCAAAAUCAACAGUACUGGAAAGUUGGCAGGUACACUUGUUUAAACAAAGCUCCCAAGUUUUCUGCUGGCAGGUGUUUCCAGAGUUCUUGGAGCACAAUUCUUUGGAUAGGAUAUUUGCCAAUAUACAUAGCAACAGGGGGAAAGUACGUGUUUUUCUUUGACACGGUGGAGACACUGAAAUGCCUUAGACACAAAACUGCAUACUCAGUUCAGGGGCUUAUUUUGGCUCCAGGUCAAGAAAUCAACAAUAAUAAAAUGCAAAAUCGUUCUGCUCAGAACUGUGAUGGGCUUCAGAGUAGAACUGAUUUGCUUAUCAAAUUGGCAACAUGUCCUCCCCAGCCACUACUAUACAGUUUGAACCAAUGAGUUGGGUUCCCUCUUCUUUGUCAAUUCCCUGGUCUCCUGAAUGUCUCAUUCUCAAGUUAAUUCUGCUUGAAAUUGAGGCUGGAGAUGGUGGAAAUUUAAUAUGAUGAAGGCAGAGCAGAGACCGGCUCCAGAUGUGUAGGAAUUGAAGGGAACAUUCUAAGAUAACUGCAUGAAGAAUGGACUGGAGUGUUGAGGGCCACCACCAAGUCGGGAUGAUGCAUGGCAUUUUUGCCAGAAGUAGUGGUUGAGAGGUGACGCCAUUGAGCCAUUAAGAUGAUGACUUUUGAGUUCUGGCAGAGUUCCCGUUGAGUUCCCAUUGAGCUCUCCCGGGGAUUCCUGAAGAGUUCGCAUUGGUUGGGGAAGUGCUGGAGGAGGGAUUUCCGGUUGGUGGUUCCUGGAGGAGCCUAGUGGCAUUGGGGAGAGUUCCCAGUAGCGUGUGUUGAGUGUGCUGGUGGAGUUCAGAAAUAAAGUUUGUUCCUGCUUCAGUGGCUCGUGAUUUGUGCCCAGCCAGACUGCAGCACUGGAGGGCAAAAAGCUACAGCAAUGGAGCAGUUAGAACAAUCUAGCAAUGGACUUUGAUGAGGUUAAUGACCAAGAGGAGAAACAGAGGUGAUGAACAGCACAGAGAAAGAAACUCAAGAACUUAAAGGAAGUAGAAUAGUUCACGGUUUGUCACCAUUUCUGUGUAGAGUAAAGAAUGACAAGUUGCUGCUGACGUAUGUCUUUGGGAGUGAGGGGUGGUGAAGGGACUUACUUAACAGAGAUGAAGGUAGCCAAGGCUCAAAAUGAGAAGAAACCCUAAAAAUCAAAGCACAAUAGCAAGGAUUAUUUUAUAAAACACUUUGAGACAUCAAGAAUUUGAGGUUUGAUUUUUUUAAUGUGUUCCUGAAGUAAUUUUAAUUUACAAAACGCAUUUAUGUACAUUGGCUCAUUUUGAUAUUUGACCUCACAUGCAUGAGGGACAGGGAGGGUAUUAGAAACGUAGGUUACAAAAUGUAGUAAGUGGAACUCAGAGGGACUGAGAGGUAUAGAUGAGAUCAAAUAGCUGAGCCAAGGUGGAACCAAAAGUUAGAAUAUGUAUUCUCAGUUUCUAGUGUAAUAUUCAUGACAAGAAUGGGAGUAGACUGGUCACCCUGUAGAACUUGAUUUUCUCUUCCUUCAGGAAUUUUUCUGCCUUUGGCAUUGUGUAAGACACCUCUAGUAUCCGGCUUUGUUGGAUAAUUUCUCCAUGAGAUCACAUCCAGGGAGACCUGGAGAUCUUAUUUGAGUUACCUAAAGUUAUUUCCAAGCUAUUAAGACCUCACUAUGCCUGGAGCUCGCAUGAUCCAUUACCUUGUAGGGUUCUGAAAUACUGGCCAUUGCACUAAUCCUAAAGCCUGAAGCUGAAAAAGAUGAGGCAAAUAUAUUGUCAUCUUUUCCCUCCGUGGAAAACGGAAAGAAAAACACACACGAAAAAAAAAUCUGCCAUUUCCCUCAGGUCAAAUGACAGACACUGACCCUUGACAUUCCAUUCAGAAAAUUCCAAAAUAAACACAGACUCACGUAAGCCCAAAGAAAAGAAGCCAAAUUAGGAACAUCAAACUUUUUUGCCUGGAAAAGGAUAGUUUUUCCUAUUAUCCUAAGUAGGACACUGGAAGAAAAAAUAAAGUUACUUAAAAUUGCAAUUAUAAAAUUAAAGAACAAGGACAGUAAUAUGCUUUGCAGCACCUCAAGAAGAGACCUGCAGUUGGACAAUCCAUUUAAAUGUUAGCUCUGCUUUUAUAAAAUUCCACCAAGCAAUCUGUGCCUUCCCAUUACGGUCUGCUUGCUUGUUGUAACUGAAGAAAAUGUUCCUCCUAUAUACUUAAGUUGGUGGACAAAAAUGUAGCAUUCAUCUUCUCUCGAAUAUACUCUCAGGCCUUUUUGCACAGUUAAACUUAGACCUGUACAUAGGUAUUGCUAUUUGAUGUACCUUCAAUUUCAACAGAUCUAAUGACAGCAUUUGAGACAAUGAAUUCCCCCCUUCUCCUUUUGUGCAUGUUUAUUUAUUUAUUUUUUUCCUCUUGGUGACCAGGACACUAUGCUCUGCAGGUUCCUCCUAUCUCCCAGGAUGCAUCAGAUCCUUCUCUGCUUCCUGUUAUCUAGAACUCACUCAUUCUCCCCUCCCUCUCUUGUACCUUAACCAUUUUAUCCAGACCAUGCUUUAAAUAGCCUCUCUAUCAUAAUGACUCCUAAAAUUACAUCACUGGCCUUACUCUUCCUUACAAAACCUAUAUUGGUAUUAACAACAGCUAACGUGAUUUCUAAUAGGCAUCUUACCCAGGACAUGUUGGGGACAGAAUCUUGAUUCCCCACUCUCUGAUAUCCCCAAACUUGUUCAGCCUCACAUCUCCACAUCUCAGCCAAUAGUGUCACAGCAAAUAAUGUUUUCCAGUCGUGCAGGUCAAAAUCCAAGACGCUGUUCUUGAUUCAUCCAGUUUUCUAACAUUCCGUGUCUGAUUUAUUAGCAAACUCUCUCUGCUCUGCAUUCAAACCAAUUGCUUCUUGUGAUCUUUUAUCAUUUCUCAGAUAGAUUGCUGCAAACACUUUCUAACUUGUCUCUAUCUUUCCUCUCUCAUUUCCUGAAGUCUAUCCUCACCAAACAAGUCUCUUUUUUAAAAUUAAAAAUUUUAAAUUUGACUCCUCUUAGAAUAAAACCCAAACUCCAUCUCAUGACCUAGAAAGUUCUCCAUGAUCUGGCUCUUGCUUCUUCUGAUGGUCUCACCUCCUUAUCUGCUUUGCUUGUUCUGCUUUAAACAGACUAGGAUGGGAUUCUCCGCACAUUCUAGCACUUUCAGCUCCAGGGCCUUUGCACAUUCUAUACAUCUCCUCAAAAAUGUUCUACAUGACUCAGUUCUUAUCGUUCCUAAAGUUUCAAGCUAACAGUCACUUUCUCUAAAAAUAAAUAAAUAAAUAAAUAAAAAUAAAAACAACUUUCCUCACUACCUGGUCUUUUUGCUCUCUAUAGUCUGCUAUAAUUUUUUUGAAAGUACUAUCACUAUAAAAAUUAUGUGUAUUAUUUUUAUUAGUUUAAUAUUUUGGUUAUUUCUUUCCCCCAGCUAUAGUAAAUCUAAUUUAGUAGGUCUGACAUCUCUCUUUGUAUCACUUAUGCAUCCUCAAUGCAUACGACCAUGCCUAUUGCUUAAUAGGUACCCCACAUUUAAUGAUUUGAUGUAUGUGUUAGUAAAUAAAUAAUUGUGUCUAUAUGAUUCAAUCUCCCUAAUAAACAGUGUUAUUUUUUUCAAGUUCCAACUUGCUUAAAAUAAGAAAUUUGUAUGUGUCAGUGUAUAUGUGGGUGUUUUCCCUAAAGCUAAGCUAUAGAAAUGAUUGAAUUCAACAUCUACAGCAACCUGAGAACUCUGGAGAAAACAACUCUUCAGGACAUUGGCUGGAUGACACCCACAUUACAAAUUCUACUGCUGUUGAUAGGAACUAGAAUGAUGUAUAGUGUCUUUCUCUGGAAAAUUCCAAUAAAACAGAU